RNAcentral lists this unclassified non-coding RNA (331 nucleotides) under soil metagenome. RNAcentral's name for it is "partial contains 5.8S ribosomal RNA, internal transcribed spacer 2, and large subunit ribosomal RNA". The stretch from base 1 to 120 matches the Rfam family "5.8S ribosomal RNA", at positions 35 to 154 of the family's 154-position model. The record is from RNAcentral.
GAUGAAGAACGUAGCGAAAUGCGAUAAGUAAUGUGAAUUGCAGAAUUCAGUGAAUCAUCGAAUCUUUGAACGCACAUUGCGCCCCCUGGUAUUCCGGGGGGCAUGCCUGUUCGAGCGUCAUUUCACCACUCAAGCCUCGCUUGGUAUUGGGCAUCGCGGUCCGCCGCGCGCCUCAAAUCGACCGGCUGGGUCUUCUGUCCCCUAAGCGUUGUGGAAACUAUUCGCUAAAGGGUGUUCGGGAGGCUACGCCGUAAAACAACCCCAUUUCUAAGGUUGGCCUCGGAUCAGGUAGGGAUACCCGCUGAACUUAAGCAUAUCAAUAAGCGGAGGA